AUGCUGUACGUAUACUAUAACCAAAACAAAUACAGCAUUACACUUGAGAAUUUGGUUAAACAACAAAGGAAAUGAAGAAAAAUUGGAAGUGUGACAUGACAGAGAGGAAAGACUCAAAAUUAUCCAGAAAACACUUGGCAUUUAACACAGUGUUAUUUGUAAUAUCACAAAGAUAUAUUAAGCUGAAUAACCUGGUAUUGCCCAAAAAUGUACAUCAUGCAGAGGUGUCUCUAUUUUCUUCCCCAGACAUGGCUCCACUAGAGCUAUUCUGCACAGGAGGACCCUGUGUAGGUGGACCUAGGCCUAGCAAUAAGGGAGCCUGUUUCUUUUCGUUACUUGGCUUAGUAUCCUCGUUCCUAUUUGCAGCCCAAGCUCUCAGAGGAGGUUCAAAAUGCUUGCUAGCAACAUCAGGUGGUAAUGCAUCCUCUCCGGGGAGAACAACUAGGCCUUUCUCUCUAAGAGAGGAAGGUUCAUUGUAGCAAGUAUUCCAGAGGGAAUCUACAAGUUGCCUCUCUUCUUUAGCAGCACCAAGAUCUUCAGGUGACAUAGAGGAAAUCCCCUUAAUUCGCUCCUGGAGUAUUUGCUUGAGUUUCUCAUUUUCUUCAGUCGAUGAGGAGCCAGCAACCUCUCCUGUCUUGUCUUGGGCAAGGUCAAGAAGACCUUGUAGGGCACCCUCUCGCACUUCUCCAUCAUCACUAGAGGCUAGAUGCAUCAUAACUCGAGGAAAUCCUAGCUCAGUCACUACAUUGCAGUCUGAACGAUUCUCAUGUAGUAAAUAAUGGAUCAAGUUAAGGGCUUUCCUCUGAAAUCUCACACUCUCAGAACUCAAAGCAUCUCUUAAACCUGCAUAACCAUUUGCAAGACGAAAUGCAGCAAUGGCAGGCUUGUUGUGCCUAAUUAAAGAUGAAAUUGCACCAAGAGCUUUAGUGCGGGCAGUAACAUCAGGAUCUGAGGUAAAAUUUGACAGAAGGGGUUCUAGGCCAUUAGCUUCCAUUACCAGUUGUUGGCUCCUCGGGUUGUUCUGAACAAUUGUACUUACGACUUCUGCCGCUUUGGCUCUAAUGUUUGCAUGGGAGUUCUUUAAGUAACCAAGAAGAGGCACCAAUCCACCAAUUGAUAUGGCUAAUGAUCUGAAUUCA
This 1139-nucleotide unclassified non-coding RNA is filed under the name Hevea brasiliensis (rubber tree). Lineage: Eukaryota; Viridiplantae; Streptophyta; Magnoliopsida; Malpighiales; Euphorbiaceae. The record is from RNAcentral.